RNAcentral lists this ribosomal RNA (428 nucleotides) under Chloroflexota bacterium. RNAcentral describes it as "Chloroflexi bacterium partial 16S ribosomal RNA". It matches the Rfam family "Bacterial small subunit ribosomal RNA", at positions 355 to 776 of the family's 1533-position model. Lineage: Bacteria; Bacillati; Chloroflexota. The record is from RNAcentral.
UGGGGAAUAUUGCACAAUGGGCGCAAGCCUGAUGCAGCCAUGCCGCGUGUAUGAAGAAGGCCUUCGGGUUGUAAAGUACUUUCAGUCGGGAGGAAGGUGGUAAGGUAAUAACCUUAUCAAUUGACGUUACCGACAGAAGAAGCACCGGCUAACUCCGUGCCAGCAGCCGCGGUAAUACGGAGGGUGCAAGCGUUAAUCGGAAUUACUGGGCGUAAAGCGCACGCAGGCGGUUGAUUGAGUCAGAUGUGAAAUCCCCGGGCUUAACCCGGGAAUUGCAUCUGAUACUGGUCAGCUAGAGUCUUGUAGAGGGGGGUAGAAUUCCAUGUGUAGCGAUGAAAUGCGUAGAGAUGUGGAGGAAUACCGGUGGCGAAGGCGGCCCCCUGGACAAAGACUGACGCUCAGGUGCGAAAGCGUGGGGAGCAAACAGG